AACGAACGCUGGCGGCACGUUUUAAGCAUGCAAGUCGAAUGGCAGUGGGGGCAGCCCCAUGAGAAUGGCGAACGGGUGAGUAACACGUAGGUGAUCUGCCUGACGGAUGGGGAUAGCUUGUGGAAACACAGGGUAAUACCGAAUGAGCUGACGAGACUUUGGUUUUGUUAGUAAAGGUGCUACGGCACCGCCGACAGAGGAGCCUGCGGCUGAUUAGCUAGUUGGUGGGGUAAAGGCCUACCAAGGCGACGAUCAGUAGCCGGCCUGAGAGGGUGUACGGCCACACUGGAACUGAGACACGGUCCAGACUCCUACGGGGGGCAGCAGCUAAGAAUCUUCCGCAAUGGGCGAAAGCCUGACGGGGCGAUGCCGCGUGAUCGAUGAAGGUCGAGAGAUUGUAAAGAUCUUUUCUACAUGAGGAAUAAGUCUGGGAGGGAAUGCCUGGAUGAUGACGUUAGUGUAGGAAUAAGCCCCGGCUAAUUACGUGCCAGCCGCCGCCGUAA
This 503-nucleotide ribosomal RNA is filed under the name uncultured bacterium. RNAcentral describes it as "partial 16S ribosomal RNA". It matches the Rfam family "Bacterial small subunit ribosomal RNA", at positions 29 to 523 of the family's 1533-position model. The record is from RNAcentral.